AGCCUAAUAGCUAGCCCAACUCUUUAAAUACAAUUUAACAUCCUUAAUUAAACCCCAAUACACUAAAUUUAUAAAACAAAUCAUUUUUCCAUCCCAGUAUAGGAGAUAGAAAAGAACCUCGGAGCAAUAGAGAUAGUACCGCGAGGGAAAGCUGAAAGAGAAAUGAAAUAACCCAUAAAAGCCUAGAAAAGCAAAGACUAACCCUUGUACCUUUUGCAUCAUGAUUUAGCCAGCAAUACUUAAGCAAAGAAUACUUUAGUUUAAUUCCCCGAAACUAGGUGAGCUACCCCAAGACAGCCUACAAUAAGGGCGAACCCUUCUCUGUGGCAAAAGAGUGGGAAGAUCUUCGAGUAGCGGUGACAGACCUAUCGAACCUAGUUAUAGCUGGUUGCUUGGAAAAUGGAUAGAAGUUCAGCCUUUUAGAUUUUACCCUCAACUGGGUAUUACCCAAACCCGCCAACCAUAGAAACUAAAAGAGUUAGUCAAAGGGGGUACAGCCCCUUUGAACAAGGACACAGCCUUAAUAGGAGAAUAAAGAUCACAACAAAUAAGGACUAACGUUUAAGUGGGCUUAAAAGCAGCCAUCUUAAUAAAAAGCGUUACAGCUUAAAGUUCAAACUCUUAACCUUAAAUUCCGACAAUUAAUUCCUAACCCCUAAUUAUACCAAGCCAUCCUAUGCGACCAUAGGAGCGACCCUGCUAAUAUGAGUAAUAAGAAAGCCCCGGCUUUCUCCCUUACACAAGUAUAAAUCGGAACGAACUCUCACCGAAAUUUAACGGUCCCAACAAAUAGAGGGUAAUGGAUCACACACGCCAGAACCAGAAAAUAUUCCACAAAUUAACCGUUAAUCCCACACUGGUGUGUAUUAAAGAGAAAGGCUAAAAAAGAAAGAAGGAACUCGGCAAACACCUCAAGCCUCGCCUGUUUACCAAAAACAUCGCCUCUUGCAAAAUCAACGAAUAAGAGGUCCCGCCUGCCCUGUGACUCAUAUGUUUAACGGCCGCGGUAUUUUGACCGUGCAAAGGUAGCGCAAUCACUUGUCUUUUAAAUGAAGACCUGUAUGAAUGGCAUCACGAGGGCUUAACUGUCUCCUUUCUUUAGCCAAUGAAAUUGAUCUUCCCGUGCAGAAGCGGGAAUAAAAGCAUAAGACGAGAAGACCCUAUGGAGCUUUAGACACUAAGGCAGCUUACGUCAAAAAUUCCUGAAUAAAGGACGUGAACUAAAUAGGACCUGCCCUAAUGUCUUCGGUUGGGGCGACCCCGGGGAAACAAAUAACCCCCACGAGGAAUCGGAAGUAUACUUCCGAAGCCAAGAGCCACUACUCUAAGAAUCAGAACUUCUGACCAACUGAUCCGGCCAAGCCGAUUAGCGGACCGAGUUACCCUAGGGAUAACAGCGCAAUCCCCUUAUAGAGUCCCUAUCGACAAGGGGGUUUACGACCUCGAUGUUGGAUCAGGACAUCCUAAUGGUGCAGCCGCUAUUAAGGGUUCGUUUGUUCAACGAUUAAAGUCCUACGUGAUCUGAGUUCAGACCGGAGUAAUCCAGGUCAGUUUCUAUCUAUGUAAUGAUCUUUUCUAGUACGAAAGGACCGAAAAGAAGAGGCCAAUAUUAAAAAUAUGCCUCACCCUUACCUAGCGAAAACAACUAAAAUAGGUAAAAGGGCAUCUGCUUAAAAGCCUGAGAUCAUGGCCU
This 1693-nucleotide ribosomal RNA is filed under the name Thalassoma lunare. Its description in RNAcentral is "16S ribosomal RNA". It matches the Rfam family "Bacterial large subunit ribosomal RNA". The record is from RNAcentral. Lineage: Eukaryota; Metazoa; Chordata; Actinopteri; Labriformes; Labridae.